UACGGAGGGUGCAAGCGUUAAUCGGAAUUACUGGGCGUAAAGCGCACGUAGGUGGUUUGUUAAGCUAGCUGUGAAAUCCCCGGGCUCAACCUGGGCACUGCAGUUAGAACUGGCAAGCUAGAGUAGGGUAGAGGGGUGUGGAAUUCCAGGUGUAGCGGUGAAAUGCCUAGAUAUCUGGAGGAACAUCAGUGGCGAAGGCGACACCCUGGACUCAUACUGACACUGAGGUGCGAAAGCGUGGGGAGCAAACAGG
Molecule: ribosomal RNA, 253 nt
Filed under: uncultured bacterium
Lineage: Bacteria
Description: partial 16S ribosomal RNA
Rfam family: Bacterial small subunit ribosomal RNA
Source: RNAcentral